RNAcentral lists this ribosomal RNA (312 nucleotides) under uncultured beta proteobacterium. Its description in RNAcentral is "bacterial SSU rRNA". It matches the Rfam family "Bacterial small subunit ribosomal RNA", at positions 9 to 323 of the family's 1533-position model. The record is from RNAcentral. Lineage: Bacteria; Pseudomonadati; Pseudomonadota; Betaproteobacteria.
GAGUUUGAUCCUGGCUCAGAUUGAACGCUGGCGGCAUGCUUUACACAUGCAAGUCGAACGGCAGCGCGGGCUUCGGCCUGGCGGCGAGUGGCGAACGGGUGAGUAAUAUAUCGGAACGUACCCAGGGGUGGGGGAUAACGUAGCGAAAGUUACGCUAAUACCGCAUACGCUCUAUGGAGGAAAGCAGGGGAUCGCAAGACCUUGCGCGCUUGGAGCGGCCGAUAUCUGAUUAGCUAGUUGGUGGGGUAAAGGCUCACCAAGGCAACGAUCAGUAGCUGGUCUGAGAGGACGACCAGCCACACUGGGACUGGA